UACGUAGGGUGCAAGCGUUGUCCGGAAUUAUUGGGCGUAAAGAGCUCGUAGGCGGUUUGUCGCGUCUGCUGUGAAAACCCGAGGCUCAACCUCGGGCCUGCAGUGGGUACGGGCAGACUAGAGUGCGGUAGGGGAGAUUGGAAUUCCUGGUGUAGCGGUGGAAUGCGCAGAUAUCAGGAGGAACACCAAUGGCGAAGGCAGAUCUCUGGGCCGUAACUGACGCUGAGGAGCGAAAGCAUGGGGAGCGAACGGA
RNAcentral lists this ribosomal RNA (253 nucleotides) under uncultured bacterium. Its description in RNAcentral is "partial 16S ribosomal RNA". It matches the Rfam family "Bacterial small subunit ribosomal RNA", at positions 524 to 776 of the family's 1533-position model. The record is from RNAcentral.